RNAcentral lists this ribosomal RNA (253 nucleotides) under uncultured bacterium. RNAcentral describes it as "partial 16S ribosomal RNA". It matches the Rfam family "Bacterial small subunit ribosomal RNA", at positions 524 to 776 of the family's 1533-position model. The record is from RNAcentral.
UACGUAGGUGGCAAGCGUUGUCCGGAUUUAUUGGGUUUAAAGGGUGCGUAGGCGGCCCCCUAAGUCAGUGGUGAAAUGCGGCAGCUUAACUGUCGAGGUGCCAUUGAUACUGGGAGGCUUGAGUACUGAUGAGGUAGGCGGAAUUGACGGUGUAGCGGUGAAAUGCUUAGAUAUCGUCAAGAACACCGAUAGCGAAGGCAGCUUACUAAAGAGUAACUGACGCUGAGGCACGAAAGUGCGGGGAUCAAACAGG